RNAcentral lists this non-coding RNA (218 nucleotides) under Oceanobacillus oncorhynchi. Its description in RNAcentral is "T-box sequence". It matches the Rfam family "T-box leader". Rfam says of the family: Uncharged tRNA acts as the effector for transcription antitermination of genes in the T-box leader family. T-boxes are found upstream of many aminoacyl-tRNA synthetase genes and some amino acid biosynthetic genes usually in Gram-positive bacteria. Lineage: Bacteria; Bacillati; Bacillota; Bacilli; Caryophanales; Bacillaceae. The record is from RNAcentral.
CGUUAUACAAUGAAAGAGAAAGUAUAGAAGAUGACUCUGUGUAAGCGAGUCAGGGGCGGUGGAAGCCUGAUACAGAAGUCUUUUAGAAAAUCACUCUGGAGUAGCUAUUAUGAAAAUAAUGUAGUAAUAGCCGGCUGUCCACGUUACGGAUUUCGAGUGAAUUUAAUGCCGUGCAUUAAAUUUAUAAGGGUGGUACCGCGAGUCUUCUCGUCCCUUUA